AACUCAUAACGGUGGAUGUCUCGGCUUCUCAAUCGAUGAAGGACGCGGCAACAUGCGAUAAAUUCGUAUGAAUUGCAGAAUCAAGCGUAUUAUCAAACCUUUGAACGCAACAUGCGUGCUGGGUCUUAACUCAAGCACGUCCACGGUUCAGUGCCGAUAACUGUGUUGGGGACAAAUAAGGCCCUUAAAUACUUGGUUUCGUACCAAUAACUUCUCUUCAAGGCCUGAACUGUGGUCGACCACCCGCUGAACUUAAGCAUAUCAUUAAGCGGAGGAAAAGAAAACAACUGUGAUUCCCCUAGUAGCGGCGAGCGAAGAGGGAAAAGCCCAAGCCGAAUCGGAUCACAUCCGAAUUGUGGAGUAUGAAGUUCCUUGUAUUUCCGUAUGCUGGAAAAGUCUUCCUGGAAAGGAGCGCCCUAGAGGGUGAUAGCCCCGUUUUCUGGCCGCUACGUGAAACAACACCUUGGAACUUUCGGAGUAGUACUGCUUGGGAAUGCAGUGCGAAUGGCAGGUAUACCUCUGCCAAGGCUAAAUAUCGUGAGAAGACCGAUAGCGCACAAGUAGCGUGAGCGAAAGAUGAAAAGCACUUUGGAGAGAGAGUGAAACAGUACCUGAAGCCGUUAUGAGGUAA
This 631-nucleotide unclassified non-coding RNA is filed under the name uncultured soil eukaryote. Its description in RNAcentral is "sequence contains 5.8S rRNA gene, ITS2, 28S rRNA gene". The stretch from base 221 to 631 matches the Rfam family "Eukaryotic large subunit ribosomal RNA", at positions 1 to 418 of the family's 3401-position model. The record is from RNAcentral.